CCUACGGGAGGCAGCAGUGAGGAAUAUUGGUCAAUGGACGGAAGUCUGAACCAGCCAUGCAGCGUGCAGGAAGACGGCUCUAUGAGUUGUAAACUGCUUUUGUACAAGAGUAAACCUGAAUACGUGUAUUCCGCUGAAAGUACUGUACGAAUAAGGAUCGGCUAACUCCGUGCCAGCAGCCCCGGUAAUACGGAGGAUCCAAGCGUUAUCCGGAUUUAUUGGGUUUAAAGGGUGCGUAGGCGGAUUGAUAAGUUAGAGGUGAAAUUUCCGCGCUCACCUCGGGAACUGCCGAUAAUACUGUUGACCUAGAGAGUAGAUGCGGUAGGCGGAAUGUAUGGUGUAGCGGUGAAAUGCUUAGAUAUCAUACAGAACACCGAUUGCGAAGGCAGCUUACCAAUCUAUAUCUGACGUUGAGGCACGAAAGCGUGGGGAGCAAACAGGAUUAGAUACCCGAGUAGUC
RNAcentral lists this ribosomal RNA (460 nucleotides) under uncultured bacterium. RNAcentral's name for it is "partial 16S ribosomal RNA". It matches the Rfam family "Bacterial small subunit ribosomal RNA", at positions 338 to 795 of the family's 1533-position model. The record is from RNAcentral.